AGAGUUUGAUCCUGGCUCAGAUUGAACGCUGGCGGCAGGCCUAACACAUGCAAGUCGAACGGUAACAGAAAGCAGCUUGCUGCUUUGCUGACGAGUGGCGGACGGGUGAGUAAUGUCUGGGAAACUGCCUGAUGGAGGGGGAUAACUACUGGAAACGGUAGCUAAUACCGCAUAACGUCGCAAGACCAAAGAGGGGGACCUUCGGGCCUCUUGCCAUCGGAUGUGCCCAGAUGGGAUUAGCUAGUAGGUGGGGUAAAGGCUCACCUAGGCGACGAUCCCUAGCUGGUCUGAGAGGAUGACCAGCCACACUGGAACUGAGACACGGUCCAGACUCCUACGGGAGGCAGCAGUGGGGAAUAUUGCACAAUGGGCGCAAGCCUGAUGCAGCCAUGCCGCGUGUAUGAAGAAGGCCUUCGGGUUGUAAAGUACUUUCAGCGGGGAGGAAGGGAGUAAAGUUAAUACCUUUGCUCAUUGACGUUACCCGCAGAAGAAGCACCGGCUAACUCCGUGCCAGCAGCCGCGGUGAUACGGAGGGUGCAAGCGUUAAUCGGAAUUACUGGGCGUAAAGCGCACGCAGGCGGUUUGUUAAGUCAGAUGUGAAAUCCCCGGGCUCAACCUGGGAACUGCAUCUGAUACUGGCAAGCUUGAGUCUCGUAGAGGGGGGUAGAAUUCCAGGUGUAGCGGUGAAAUGCGUAGAGAUCUGGAGGAAUACCGGUGGCGAAGGCGGCCCCCUGGACGAAGACUGACGCUCAGGUGCGAAAGCGUGGGGAGCAAACAGGAUUAGAUACCCUGGUAGUCCA
RNAcentral lists this ribosomal RNA (800 nucleotides) under uncultured bacterium. RNAcentral describes it as "bacterial SSU rRNA". It matches the Rfam family "Bacterial small subunit ribosomal RNA", at positions 8 to 797 of the family's 1533-position model. The record is from RNAcentral.